UACGGGGGGGGCAAGCGUUGUUCGGAAUUACUGGGCGUAAAGGGCUCGUAGGCGGCCAACUAAGUCGGACGUGAAAUCCCCAGGCUCAACCUGGGAACUGCGUCCGAUACUGGAUGGCUUGAAUUCGGGAGAGGGAUGCAGAAUUCCAGGUGUAGCGGUGAAAUGCGUAGAUAUCUGGAGGAAUACCGGUGGCGAAGGCGGCAUCCUGGACCAACACUGACACUGAGGAGCGAAAGCCAGGGGAGCAAACGGG
RNAcentral lists this ribosomal RNA (253 nucleotides) under uncultured bacterium. RNAcentral's name for it is "partial 16S ribosomal RNA". It matches the Rfam family "Bacterial small subunit ribosomal RNA", at positions 524 to 776 of the family's 1533-position model. The record is from RNAcentral.